GACGAACGCUGGCGGCGUGCUUAACACAUGCAAGUCGAACGGUGAGGCCCUUCGGGGUACACGAGUGGCGAACGGGUGAGUAACACGUGGGUGAUCUGCCCUGCACUUCGGGAUAAGCCUGGGAAACUGGGUCUAAUACCGGAUAGGACCCUGGGAUGCAUGUCCUGGGGUGGAAAGCUUUUGCGGUGUGGGAUGGGCCCGCGGCCUAUCAGCUUGUUGGUGGGGUGAUGGCCUAACAAGGCGACGACGGGUAGCCGGCCUGAGAGGGGGACCGGCCACACUGGGACUGGGAUACGGCCCAGGCUCCUACGGGAGGCAGCAGUGGGGAAGAUUGCACAAUGGGCGCAAGCCUGAUGCAGCGACGCCGCGUGAGGGAUGACGGCCUUCGGGUUGUAAACCUCUUUCAGCACCGACGAAGCGCAAGUGACGGUAGGUGCAGAAGAAGGACCGGCCAACUACGUGCCAGCAGCCGCAGUAA
Molecule: ribosomal RNA, 478 nt
Filed under: uncultured bacterium
Lineage: Bacteria
Description: partial 16S ribosomal RNA
Rfam family: Bacterial small subunit ribosomal RNA
Source: RNAcentral